RNAcentral lists this ribosomal RNA (468 nucleotides) under uncultured bacterium. Its description in RNAcentral is "partial 16S ribosomal RNA". It matches the Rfam family "Bacterial small subunit ribosomal RNA", at positions 28 to 507 of the family's 1533-position model. The record is from RNAcentral.
GACGAACGCUGGCGGCGUGCUUAACACAUGCAAGUCGAACGGAAAGGCCCUGCUUUUGUGGGGUGCUCGAGUGGCGAACGGGUGAGUAGCACGUGGGUAACCUGCCCUUGACUUUGGGAUAACUUCAGGAAACUGGGGCUAAUACCGGAUAGGAGCUCCUGCUGCAUGGUGGGGGUUGGAAAGUUUCGGCGGUUGGGGAUGGACUCGCGGCUUAUCAGCUUGUUGGUGGGGUAGUGGCUUACCAAGGCUUUGACGGGUAGCCGGCCUGAGAGGGUGACCGGCCACAUUGGGACUGAGAUACGGCCCAGACUCCUACGGGAGGCAGCAGUGGGGAAUAUUGCACAAUGGGCGGAGGCCUGAUGCAGCAACGCCGCGUGCGGGAUGACGGCCUUCGGGUUGUAAACCGCUUUCGCCUGUGACGAAGCGUGAGUGACGGUAAUGGGUAAAGAAGCACCGGCUAACUACGUG